UGGGGAAUAUUGCACAAUGGGGGAAACCCUGAUGCAGCGACGCCGCGUGAGCGAUGAAGGCUUUCGAGUCGUAAAGCUCUGUCCUAUGGGAAGAUAAUGACGGUACCAUAGAAGAAAGCCCCGGCUAACUACGUGCCAGCAGCCGCGGUAAUACGUAGGGGGCUAGCGUUGUCCGGAAUCACUGGGCGUAAAGGGUUCGCAGGCGGAAUAACAAGUCAGAUGUGAAAGGCAUGGGCUCAACCCAUGUAAGCAUUUGAAACUGUAAUUCUUGAGAAGUGGAGAGGUAAGUGGAAUUCCUAGUGUAGCGGUGAAAUGCGUAGAUAUUAGGAGGAAUACCUGUGGCGAAGGCGACUUACUGGACACAAAUCUGACGCUGAGGAACGAAAGCGUGGGUAGCAAACAGG
RNAcentral lists this ribosomal RNA (404 nucleotides) under Verrucomicrobiota bacterium. Its description in RNAcentral is "Verrucomicrobia bacterium partial 16S ribosomal RNA". It matches the Rfam family "Bacterial small subunit ribosomal RNA", at positions 355 to 776 of the family's 1533-position model. The record is from RNAcentral. Lineage: Bacteria; Pseudomonadati; Verrucomicrobiota.